RNAcentral lists this ribosomal RNA (861 nucleotides) under uncultured bacterium. RNAcentral's name for it is "bacterial SSU rRNA". It matches the Rfam family "Bacterial small subunit ribosomal RNA", at positions 17 to 887 of the family's 1533-position model. The record is from RNAcentral.
UCCUGGCUCAGGAUGAACGCUGGCGGCGUGCCUAAUACAUGCAAGUCGAACGAGGUGCUUUUGUAGCAAUACGAGAGUAUCCUAGUGGCGAACGGGUGAGUAACGCGUUGGUGACCUACCCCAAAGUGUGGGAUAACAGUCCGAAAGGAUUGCUAAUACCGCAUGUGGUCAUUGGGUUUAGAAACUGAUGACUAAAGGAGCAAUUCGCUUUGGGAGGGACCUGCGUCCCAUCAGCUAGUUGGUGAGGUAACGGCUCACCAAGGCGACGACGGGUAGGGGACCUGAAAGGGUGGCCCCCCACAAUGGAACUGAAACACGGUCCAUACACCUACGGGUGGCAGCAGUAGGGAAUAUUGCACAAUGGGCGAAAGCCUGAUGCAGCAACGCCGCGUGUGUGAUGAAGGCCUUCGGGUCGUAAAGCACUUUUCUUGGAGAUGAGAAAGGACAGUAUCCCAGGAAUAAGUCUCGGCUAACUACGUGCCAGCAGCCGCGGUAAAACGUAGGAGGCAAGCGUUAUCCGGAUUCACUAGGCGUAAAGCGCGUGCAGGCGGUGCGGUAAGUUAGGCGUGAAAUCUCCCGGCUCAACUGGGAGAGGUCGUCUAAUACUACCGUACUUGAGAGCAGAAGAGGAAGAUGGAAUUCCCGGUGUAGUGGUGAAAUGCGUAGAUAUCGGGAGGAACACCAGUGGCGAAGGCGAUCUUCUGGUCUGUUUCUGACGCUCAGACGCGACAGCUAGGGUAGUAAACGGGAUUAGAGACCCCGGUAAUCCUAGCCGUAAACGAUGUGAACUUGGCGUUGGUGGGUUAAACUCCAUCAGUGCCGCAGCAAACGCGAUAAGUUCACCGCCUGGGGACUACGGCC